GCCCCCCCCAAACAUCAACUAUUAUCUAAACUCUUUGUCUGAAAAAUAUUAUGAAUAAAACAAUUCAAAAUACAACUUUCAACAACGGAUCUCUUGGCUCUCGCAUCGAUGAAGAACGCAGCGAAAUGCGAUACGUAAUGUGAAUUGCAGAAUUCAGUGAAUCAUCGAAUCUUUGAACGCAUAUUGCGCUCUUUGGUAUUCCGAAGAGCAUGCUUGUUUGAGUAUCAGUAAACACCUCAAAGCCCUUUUCUUUUUUGAAAAAGGCUUUGGACUUGAGCAAUCCCAACACUUGAUCUCUUGAGACUGAGUGGCGGGUUGCUUGAAAUGCAGGUGCAGCUGGACUUUCUCCUGAGCUAAAAGCAUAUUCAUUUAAUCCCGUCAAACGGAUUAUUACUUUUGCUGCAGCUAAUAUAAAGGGAGAUUGACCAUUUUGGCUGACUGAUGCAGGAUUUUCACAAAAGGGUUCGCCUUUUUGUUAAACUCGAUCUCAAAUCAAGUAAGACUACCCGCUGAACUUAAGCAUAUCAAUAAGCGGAGGA
Molecule: ribosomal RNA, 539 nt
Filed under: Mortierella sp. CZ-2011
Lineage: Eukaryota; Fungi; Mortierellomycota; Mortierellomycetes; Mortierellales; Mortierellaceae
Description: eukaryotic LSU rRNA
Rfam family: 5.8S ribosomal RNA (bases 74-227)
Source: RNAcentral